ACGGAAGGCAGCAGCUAAGAAUAUUCCGCAAUGGACGAAAGUCUGACGGAGCGACGCCGCGUGGAUGAUGAAGGUCGGAAGAUUGUAAAAUCCUUUUAUAACUGAGGCAUAAGUACUGUGAGAGAAACGCAGAAUGGUGACUGUAGGUUAUGAAUAAGCAACGGCUAAUUACGUGCCAGCAGCCGCGGUAACACGUAAGUUGCGAGCGUUGUUCGGAAUUAUUGGGCGUAAAGGGCAUGUAGGCGGUUUUGCAAGCUUGGUGUGAAAUCUCGGAGCUCAAGUCCGAAAUUGCGUUGAGAACUGCAUAACUGGAGUCACUGUGGGGCAAUCAGAAUUCCUGGUGUAGGGGUGAAAUCUGUAGAUAUCAGGAAGAAUACCAAAGGCGAAGGCAGGUUACCAGCAGAUGACUGACGCUAAGGUGCGAAGGUGCGGGGAGCAAACAGGAUUAGAUACCCUGGUA
This 460-nucleotide ribosomal RNA is filed under the name uncultured Treponema sp. Its description in RNAcentral is "partial 16S ribosomal RNA". It matches the Rfam family "Bacterial small subunit ribosomal RNA", at positions 341 to 792 of the family's 1533-position model. Lineage: Bacteria; Pseudomonadati; Spirochaetota; Spirochaetia; Treponematales; Treponemataceae. The record is from RNAcentral.